This 254-nucleotide ribosomal RNA is filed under the name uncultured bacterium. RNAcentral describes it as "partial 16S ribosomal RNA". It matches the Rfam family "Bacterial small subunit ribosomal RNA", at positions 524 to 776 of the family's 1533-position model. The record is from RNAcentral.
CACGUAGGGGCCAAGCGUUGUCCGGAUUCAUUGGGCGUAAAGAGCUCGUAGGCGGUUCAGUCAGUCGGGUGUGAAAUCUCCGGGCUCAACCCGGAGGGGCCACCCGAUACUGCUGUGACUCGAGUCCGGUAGGGGAGUGGGGAAUUCCUGGUGUAGCGGUGAAAUGCGCAGAUAUCAGGAGGAACACCGGUGGCGAAGGCGCCACUCUGGGCCGAAACUGACGCUGAGGAGCGAAAGCGUGGGUAGCAAACAGG